GUGCCAGCAGCCGCGGUAAUACGAAGGGGGCUAGCGUUGCUCGGAAUCACUGGGCGUAAAGGGUGCGUAGGCGGGUUUCUAAGUCAGAGGUGAAAGCCUGGAGCUCAACUCCAGAACUGCCUUUGAUACUGGAAGUCUUGAGUAUGGCAGAGGUGAGUGGAACUGCGAGUGUAGAGGUGAAAUUCGUAGAUAUUCGCAAGAACACCAGUGGCGAAGGCGGCUCACUGGGCCAUUACUGACGCUGAGGCACGAAAGCGUGGGGAGCAAACAGGAUUAGAUACCCCGGUAGUCCA
This 293-nucleotide ribosomal RNA is filed under the name uncultured bacterium. RNAcentral's name for it is "partial 16S ribosomal RNA". It matches the Rfam family "Bacterial small subunit ribosomal RNA", at positions 505 to 797 of the family's 1533-position model. The record is from RNAcentral.